GGGUCUUCUAAGGUCUUUUCUGAGCAUGCAUUUUGGCUGGGCAUAUGUGUUGCAUUCUAAAUUAUUUAGCAUACACAGUUGCUUUUGAAUGUUCUAGUUUCCCUAAGAAACUCCUCAGCUUAUGCUAUAAGCAAGUUAUUGUGUGGUUACUAAAAUAUUUUGCCUCAAAUGAUUUAUCUAGUGUAGUUUUAUCUCUUUGUAUGGUUUUUUUUUUUAAAUGAAUGCUCUAGGGACCAGAAUACACAUAUUUUACUUUUCACAGUCAAGUUAUAACCACCAUUUUACCACUUCCAAUGGGAUGUAGGAACCUCCUCACCUCACCACAUAGGGUUCUUUACCCACCUGCCCUCAUCUUUAUGUUGCUGUUGUCUUAUAUAUUACAUCUACACACUGAGAACCCAAUUGGACAACGUUUUAAUUCUUGCCUUCAACUGCCAUACUUCUAAAGAACUCGAGAGGAGAGGAAGAGCCUAUUACAUUUACCCAGAUGUUCCAGGGUUCUUUCUUGUAUCAUUUCCCUCUGUCUAAAGAACCCCGUUUAGAAUUUCUUUUAUAACAGACCUGUUGCCAGUGAAUUCUAAUUUUUCUUCGGCUGGAAAUGUCUUUAUUUCAUCUUAAUUCUUGAAAGAUAUUUUUCACUGGAUAUAGAAUUCUGAGUUGACAUUCCUUUUCUUUCAGCACUUAAAAAAUGCUUCUCUUUCUUUGGCCUCCAUGAUGAGAAAUCUGCAUUCAUUUGAAUCCCUUAUUCUCCUAGAAGUAGUGUGUCAUUUUACUCUGGUUGCUUUCAAAGUUUUUUCUUUGUUUUUAGUUUCCAUUUGUGUAAUUAUGAUAUGACUGAGUGUGCAUUUCUUCAGGUUUAUCAUAUUUGGCAUUCACUGAGUUUCUUAAAACUCAAAAGACAUGGAAGUUUCUGUCUUUUGUUACAGUCCUGGUUCUUUUUUUUUUUUUUUUUGGCUUUUUAGGGCUGCACCCGUGGCACAUGGAGGUUCCUAGGCUAGAGGUCCAGUUGGAGCUACACCUUGCCAGCCUACACCACAGCCUCAGCAACUUGGGAUCUGAGCUGCAUCUGUGACCUACACCACAGCUCACGGCAACGCUGGAUCCUUAACCCACUGAGCAAGGCCAGGGAUCAAACCCGCAACCUCCUGGCUCCUAGUCGGGUUUAUUUCUGUUGUGCCAUGAUGGGAACUCCAUUUUUUCAGAAUGAUUGCUCUUGAUCCUUCUUUGACUUCAUUGUCUCCGUCAUCUUCAUUUGGCUCUUGAGCCACAACUGAGUUUUAAUCUUUUCCAUGAUUGUAUUUUUCAGUUACACCUUUUUCCAUUAGUUUUCAACUUAUGUCUUCUGUUUCAUUAAUGAGACUUUCUGUCUUUUCAUUUAUUUCAAGAGCAUGACCCCUUACUUCUUGAAGCAUUUUCAUGGAUUUAAAAUCUCGCCAGGUAAUAUCAACAUCUGUCGUCUCAACACUGUUGUCUGUUGAUUAUUUUUUCCAUCCAACUUGAGAUUUUUCUAGUUUUUAGGACAAGAAUUUUUUUUCUUUUUAUGGCUGCACCAGUGGCAUUUGAGUUCCUGGGCUAGACACUGAAUUGGAGCUGCAGCUGUGGCGUAUGCCACAUGCACACCACCACCAAAUCCUUAAUCCAAUAAGCCAGGCCAGGGGUCAAACCUGCAUCCUCGCAGAAGCAACGUCGGAUCCUUAACGCACUGAGCCACAAUGGGAACUCCAAAACGAGCCAUUUUGGAUUGCAUCCUGGAUAAUUUGAAAAUUACGUUAUGGGACUCCAGGUCUUAUUUAAAUUCUACGGAAAUCGCAUAUAUGUUUAAGGCCGUAUCUACACAUGCACAUUUCAAGGGUGGUCCCAGAAAGUUCAUCAGCAACUUUACGGAUUUGCUUUCCUGAGACCCUCCUUUUUCUCAGUGUUCCUGUGCUUUCCGUUCCCUGGAGCUCCCCAUUCAAUCCUUCAUCAGAAAUGGGGAUUUACUUACCUCCUCAGCUUACGCUUCAUGCUGCUUAUCAUGUGUCUAAGACCAACGCAGGAGAGGAGAGAGAAGGGAAGCAGUGAUGUGGGCGUCCCUCUUCCAGCACAGCCCCUCCAGAUGGACAGGACGCUCUACUCCCUCCGGUUGGAGGCUCCUGUGGACUGGCCCUUGUUACUGCUGUUGCCACUGCUGCCCCAUAGAAUUGCUUCGAGGUUGGGAUGUGUGGGACUAGAUGAAAAAAAAACAAACCAAAACCAGAGGUUUCUGAGCAUUAGGAGUCCCUUUCCAUUACGCAGUCUGGAAUGACACAGCUUCUUCUGGAGCCUUCUCUAUCUGUGCUCUGAACUUUGGACUGUAGGCUACAUUGAGUCCAGGCUGGAUGAUACUGAAGGAAAAACAUAUUCAGCUCACUGCUGGUUUUGGGAUACCGCAAGUUCUGCUGCUCUUCAGAGGGUGCCUGCUGCUGCUUAUUUUCAGGGACCCCACUUACUUGCUCCAUGCAUUGUACUCAGGUCUUGUUUUGCAUAUAUAGUUGCGUUUAGUGGAGAGACAAGGUGCAGUGUGCUUACUCCAUUAGAACAGAAACCGUAUUUUACAUUUGUAACUUUUCACAUUCUAAUUACAAUUACUAUUUUAAAACUUCACAUAAAAUGUAGAAAUCUUGCAAUUACAGGUCCAUGUUUUUCCCACCCUACAUUCCUUAUAGCUGUUAAGUAUGUUUUACCUACGCAUACUGUGAACUCUACAAGUUACUCUUACAGCGUUUGCUUUAACUACUCAUAUGUCUAAUAUCCAGCACAAAUGAACAUCUCCUCAGAAAAGAAAAUCAUGGACUUGGAGAAAAGACUUGUGGCUGCCCGAUGAGGGGGGUGAGUGGGAGGGAGCGGGAGCUUGGGCUUAUCAGACACAACUCAGAAUAGAUUUACAAGGAGAUCCUGCUGAGUAGCAUUGAGAACUUUGUCUAGAUACUCAUGUUGCAACAGAACAAAGGGUGGGAAAAAAAUGUAAUUGUAAUGUAUACAUGUAAGGAUAACUUGAUCCCCUUGCUGUACAGUGGGAAAAUAAAAAAAAAAAAU
Molecule: long non-coding RNA, 3054 nt
Filed under: Sus scrofa (pig)
Lineage: Eukaryota; Metazoa; Chordata; Mammalia; Artiodactyla; Suidae
Description: lncRNA (ENSSSCG00000056287.1)
Source: RNAcentral